CCUGGCGGCACUAGCGCGCGGUGGUCCCACCUGACCCCAUGCCGAACUCAGAAGUGAAACGCCGUAGCGCCGAUGGUAGUGUGGGGUCUCCCCAUGUGAGAGUAGGGAACUGCCAGGC
RNAcentral lists this ribosomal RNA (118 nucleotides) under Klebsiella pneumoniae. The record is from RNAcentral. Lineage: Bacteria; Pseudomonadati; Pseudomonadota; Gammaproteobacteria; Enterobacterales; Enterobacteriaceae.